This is a long non-coding RNA of Schistocerca piceifrons (Central American locust), 546 nucleotides long. RefSeq lists it as uncharacterized. NCBI's taxonomy places the organism in Eukaryota, Metazoa, Arthropoda, Insecta, Orthoptera, Acrididae. The record is from RefSeq and is a predicted model, not a curated record. The transcript is spliced from 2 exons.
CGUUCUGUCCCGUACGCAUUCUGCACAGCGACCAUUGGCUCGCGCCCUAAUCAGGAGAUGACGAGCGCCGACGUAUCCGGAAUCUGCACCGGCAAAACAAGGCGUCGCCCAAAACAAAGCUGCAAAGUGGGCAGUUCGAGGUGUCCAGCCGGUAGCCAAGGCCACACGGGGCCCUAUAAAAGCGGGCGCUGAGACCCGGUCAGCAUACAGUGCAGCCCAGGCAGCAUCCACACCUCAACCACCAUGAAGGCUUUCGUGUGCUCUUUCCUCGUAGUCCUGCUGGUGGCGGCCGUGUUCGCCCAGGAGAAGGCCAAGGAGACCCUGAAGGGCGCCGAGGCCUACUACGCCUACGCUGCCCCCUACGCCUACAGCGCCUUCGGCUACCCCGCCGUCAGUGCCUACUCCGCCUACCCUUACGCUGCCGUCGGCUACCCCUACUACUACCGCUGAAAAUGGACACGACUUCUACGAGGAUGCAGUUCUCACUUCAGUGACUACUGUACUCUCUUCCUUCCUUCAAUAAAUACAACUGUAUCACAAAACGUA